RNAcentral lists this transfer RNA (73 nucleotides) under Hofstenia miamia. RNAcentral's name for it is "tRNA-Lys for anticodon CUU". It matches the Rfam family "tRNA". Rfam says of the family: Transfer RNA (tRNA) molecules are approximately 80 nucleotides in length. Their secondary structure includes four short double-helical elements and three loops (D, anti-codon, and T loops). The record is from RNAcentral. Lineage: Eukaryota; Metazoa; Xenacoelomorpha; Acoela; Hofsteniidae.
GGCCCUGUGGCCUUAUGGAUAAGGCGUCAGCCUCUUAAGUUGAAGACUGCAGGUUAAAGUCUUGUCAGGGUCG